Molecule: long non-coding RNA, 342 nt
Filed under: Capsicum annuum
Lineage: Eukaryota; Viridiplantae; Streptophyta; Magnoliopsida; Solanales; Solanaceae
Description: long non-coding RNA (CANN_LNC016180)
Source: RNAcentral
UAGGACCCGCUGAAGAUUCUCAGCAUCACCGCCGCCCUUAGGGCCGCGGAUUUUGGCAAGAAUUUCAGCGGAAGUGAGCGGAGCGUUUGAUCCACCUUGCCAAAUAGCAUCAGCUAGCUUGAGUUUGACAACGGCAUUGAGGGACAUAGGUACACUCAUCAUGUGAGCUAAAUCCAUUAUAGCUAACCUCGCUUUAUCAUUAGUGUUGCUUAUUUCCCCAUUUCCAUUCUCCAUGGUUUCUGCAGGUUUUUUGGCCUUCCUUUGGAGAUUAUGUUCUAUCUUGCACUUGGGGAUGUCAUGUGUUACAUUGGCCAAAUGUGGCCACUUUAUAGGGGUACUGGC